RNAcentral lists this ribozyme (117 nucleotides) under Aedes aegypti (yellow fever mosquito). Its description in RNAcentral is "drz-agam-1 ribozyme". It matches the Rfam family "drz-agam-1 ribozyme". Lineage: Eukaryota; Metazoa; Arthropoda; Insecta; Diptera; Culicidae. The record is from Rfam by way of RNAcentral.
UGCCCAGCAACUCCUAUCCCUACCUCCUCGUGGUACUGGCCGGGGUACGAGUAACCUUGGGGAAGAUCGGGUAACCAACCCCCGGUGGGAACUUUAGUCGUAUGCUGACAGGGAAGG